This is an RNA transcript of Formica exsecta, 513 nucleotides long. It is a transcript of the gene named mitotic-spindle organizing protein 1-like, with no coding region annotated. The record is from RefSeq and is a predicted model, not a curated record. The transcript is spliced from 2 exons. NCBI's taxonomy places the organism in Eukaryota, Metazoa, Arthropoda, Insecta, Hymenoptera, Formicidae.
AUCAGAAUAAAAGAAAUCAUUGUCUCUUUUCUGAUUGGUCAAUCAAACGACUCGAAAUAUCCGUGACGCAAUUAUUUAUGUUUAGGUUCCCGGGACUUGAUAAUUCUCUUUUUGCGACGAAUGUUUGUGAUAUUGUGUUAUAAAGCUGUCUAACGUCGACGAAAAGGAACAGAAACGAGCCAGCAUGCCGGAGCCUGUGAAUCACCAGGUGAAUGCCGCUCGUAAGACGUUCCGAACCUUAUACCAGAUCUCCAAGCUGCUGAACACGAAUCUCGAUGAAAACACUCUGAGCAUUUGCAUCAGACUGUGUGAAAACGGAGUGAAUCCGCAUGCCCUCGCCACUGUGGUGAAGGAACUUCAACGAGAGGUCAAAGCGAUGAACGACACGCAGUUGGAGUUUGCCAAUAAGACAAGUGUGACCAAGUGAACCCAAACAAGUAUGACACUGUUGUUGUCCUCCCACAUAUUUUAUAGAACUUAUCUUAUGUUAUCCAAUAAAUGUUUUUAAAUACA